This 73-nucleotide small RNA is filed under the name Flavobacterium noncentrifugens. RNAcentral describes it as "Flavo-1 RNA". It matches the Rfam family "Flavo-1 RNA". Lineage: Bacteria; Pseudomonadati; Bacteroidota; Flavobacteriia; Flavobacteriales; Flavobacteriaceae. The record is from Rfam by way of RNAcentral.
GUUUAGCCCUGAUGGAAGCGGCAUCCUUUUGAGGCUUUUGCCGAAAAAGAUAAAGCGAACAGCAGGAAAGUUG